Chelonoidis abingdonii (Abingdon island giant tortoise) is the source of this 347-nucleotide non-coding RNA. The record is from RefSeq and is a predicted model, not a curated record. Lineage: Eukaryota; Metazoa; Chordata; Testudines; Testudinidae.
GAGUAGGAGGAGGAGGAGGAGGAAUGGGUGGACGUGGCUACAGAGGAGGCUGCUCUCAACAUCAUCCAAAAGUAGCUCCAGGGCAGAGAAAAGCUGCAGGAUGAGGCCCAGCAACUCAUGUUCCUUCACGCCAUCCACCCCAUGUCUCACUGCACAGCAGAAAAGGCAGGUCACACUGGAGCCGCACUGCUGCCCUUCUAUGAAAUGAACUGGUUGAGUCUGCUCCAGUUCUCUCGUCUGUAAUCAGGAGGCUAAAAUGAAUGAGGGAUGGUCUUAUGAUUACAACAUGGCCAGGGCUGGCUCCAGCUUUUCUGCUGCCCCAAUCCGCAAAAUAAGAAAAAGAAAAA